UCAGCUCUUGGGGCCUGACACUGUGUGAUCUCCUGUCAGGGAUGGCCCUGCCUUGCUCUGUUCAGAGGACCAGCCUCCUUCCUGAGGACAGAAAGGGUUUUUGGCCUCUCCUGGUCAUGCUCCCAUAUUCGAGGUGCUGAUGGCAUCACUGUUGGUGUGAGCAGGAAGGACUAGGAAGGAGGUAAGCAUGUCCCCCUCUCUGGGCAGGGGAGGACGUUCAGGAGAACCUCCUAGGGAAAGCUGGAUCCUUCUUCUUCCAGUUCUCAUCCUCCCAUUCUGUCCUCCCCAAACACCACAGAAGGGAAGUUGUGCUUAGCUGCAAACCCUUUCAUGGCCGGUGGUCCUGUGUGGCCACUGCCAUUGCUACCUGGAAGCCGAGGCUCGGAGGAGUCGUAGGACUUGCCUGAGGUCACACGAUGUCUUCGUCUGCUCCUGCUCCUACAGCAACGUCCCUCAGACUGGGGGGCUUAAACAACAGUCACUCAUCUCCCACAGUUCAGCAGUGUGGGAUGUGCAAGGUCAAGGUGCUGGCAGGUUCAGUGUCUGGCGAGAGACCUCUCCCUGGUCAUGGAUGGCCGCCCUCCCAUGCUGUCCUCACCUGGCCUUUCCUUGGUAUGAGCUCAGAAAGAGAGCUCUCCCAUCUCCUCCUCUUCCUAUAAGACCCCCAAUCCCAUCACAAGGGCCCCACCUCCAAACACCACCCCACCGGGGCUUAGGGCUUCCACGCGUGAAUUCUGGGGAGGGUUCACCGGCUGGCUCUGCGUGGGACAGAAGGCGUGCCCCCAUGUCUCCCACAGGAACAGGGCCUCCGUCUGCCUGCUCUGCUGUGGGCAUCGCCAGAAUGCCGUCAACUGGGGGGCGACUCCCUGACUUGCCAGCAAAUCAACGGAAAGGGAGUGCCAGAGUGACGCUUCCAUCCUAGAUGGUCAGAGCACAAGCAGCUUGCCGCUGAUGAAGUCGCCACGGAAGCCAGCCUGGAGACGCAGAGCAGGAAGAGACCGCCCCGCAUUAAACAGAACCUGCUGCCCCGUUAACCCUCGCCUCUCCCCUGCCCUUCGCCAUGACCCCUGAAGCCCGGAGGGGGGAGAGCAGCCUCUGGCCUGGACGGACAAGGCGGCGGGGGGGCGGGGGGGCGCUCACUUAGAGAACGGGAUGCGGGUCAGAUGUCCCCUCUGGGUUGGUGGGAAGUUCCUGGGCACUCUGGCCUGGCUGGGUUUCCACAGCAGGGCAGGGGUACUGGGAAGAGGCUGGAAGAGCACUUAGGAAGAGCCCCAUUACUCUGCUUUCCUGGACAUCAGUGAGAGAACAACUUGGGGGUAUUCACACUUGACCAAACACGCGAAACCCGAUGCCUGCCCUGCCCCGACAAGUACCCCUGGCCUUGGUUAGUCUUCCAUAAAAUGGGAAUCUAGAAAUAAUCUAUAAAUAGUUUAUAAAAUAGGCAUAAUGCCCACAGCUGGUGGAAUUUUAGUGAUGAUGGAACAUAUUUCUAAAGCCCGUGCUUGGAAUAUAGCAGGUGCUCGAUAAAUGGGAGCCUUCGUUAUUA
Molecule: long non-coding RNA, 1546 nt
Organism: Ailuropoda melanoleuca (giant panda)
Lineage: Eukaryota; Metazoa; Chordata; Mammalia; Carnivora; Ursidae
Exons: 2
Source: RefSeq, a predicted model, not a curated record